UAGGGAAUCUUCGGCAAUGGGGGCAACCCUGGCCGAGCAACGCCGCGUGAGUGAAGAAGGUUUUCGGAUCGUAAAGCUCUGUUGUAAGUCAAGAACGGGUGUGAGAGUGGAAAGUUCACACUGUGACGGUAGCUUACCAGAAAGGGACGGCUAACUACGUGCCAGCAGCCGCGGUAAUACGUAGGUCCCGAGCGUUGUCCGGAUUUAUUGGGCGUAAAGCGAGCGCAGGCGUUUGAUA
Molecule: ribosomal RNA, 238 nt
Filed under: uncultured bacterium
Lineage: Bacteria
Description: partial 16S ribosomal RNA
Rfam family: Bacterial small subunit ribosomal RNA
Source: RNAcentral